GCCAAACAAAAGAGAAGCACUUAAUUAGUAAUUAAAUCCUCCAUCUUCUUAAAUUAUAGCAUAAUUAAGCGCGUGACAACAGUAUGUGUAAAGAAAAACAAUUAAAUCCACAUAAAGCAUGUGUAUGAUUUAUGGGCAACAAGCAGCCUUAUAAUACAGAAACACUGUAUAGCAUCCAUAGAAAUAAUUAAUCAGUAGGAACGCCAUGGCUUGCAUUGAAGCUUUGAGCACGAUGACUUCCAUGAGCUUCUGCAUUCACCUUCACCAUCACAACACUUGCACUCAAGCCCUAGGGUGGCAUAGAACUCCUUCGAAUUCACUUGUUUGAGUGACAGUGCUCUGGCUUCUCCACCUGCUGCAGGGUACCGAUCAUGAGACAUGGAAACGAUCAUUAAUAGCAAAACAAAAGCUGCAAGACCCUUAGGCAUAUUAAUUUUUCUAUAUCAAAAUCUCUGAUUAAAAGAAUGAACUCUCUUUGAAUAUAUAUAGUGCUUAUAAAUUAGCUCAGGCAAAGAAAGGAA
This 521-nucleotide unclassified non-coding RNA is filed under the name Hevea brasiliensis (rubber tree). The record is from RNAcentral. Lineage: Eukaryota; Viridiplantae; Streptophyta; Magnoliopsida; Malpighiales; Euphorbiaceae.